RNAcentral lists this ribosomal RNA (497 nucleotides) under uncultured bacterium. Its description in RNAcentral is "partial 16S ribosomal RNA". It matches the Rfam family "Bacterial small subunit ribosomal RNA", at positions 28 to 507 of the family's 1533-position model. The record is from RNAcentral.
GAUGAACGCUGGCGGCGUGCCUAACACAUGCAAGUCGAGCGAACAGACGAGUACUUUGCUCCUCUGACGUUAGCCGCGGGCGGGUGAGUAACAUGUGGAUAACCUACCUAUAAGACUGGAAUAACUUCGGGAAACCAUUGCUAAUACCGGAGAAUAUAUUGAAACAGAGGGUUCAAUAGGGAAAUACGGUUUUGCUGUCAGCUGUUGAUGGAUCCGCGCCUUAUUAGCUAGUUGGUAGGGUAACGGCCUACCAAGGCAACGAUGAGUAGCCGAGCUGAGAGGGUGAUCGGCCACACUGGGACUGAGACACGGUCCAGACUCCUACGGGAGGCAGCAGUGGGGAAUUUUGGACAAUGGGCGAAAGCUUGACGCAGCAAUGCCGCGUGUGUGAUGAAGGUCUUCGGAUCGUAAAACUCUUUUAUCAGGGAAGAACACCUUUGUAAUAAAACAUUCGCGUCAUGACGGUACCUGAUCAAAAAGCAACGGCUAACUACGUG